UCCCAUGUGGUCUAGUGGUUAAGAUUCGUGGCUUUCAAACACGCCGCCCGGGUUCGAUUACCGGCAUGGGAA
This is a transfer RNA of Toxocara canis (dog roundworm), 72 nucleotides long. It matches the Rfam family "tRNA". From Rfam's summary of the family: Transfer RNA (tRNA) molecules are approximately 80 nucleotides in length. Their secondary structure includes four short double-helical elements and three loops (D, anti-codon, and T loops). Further hydrogen bonds mediate the characteristic L-shaped molecular structure. tRNAs have two regions of fundamental functional importance: the anti-codon, which is responsible for specific mRNA codon recognition, and the 3' end, to which the tRNAs corresponding amino acid is attached (by aminoacyl-tRNA synthetases). tRNAs cope with the degeneracy of the genetic code in two manners: having more than one tRNA (with a specific anti-codon) for a particular amino acid; and 'wobble' base-pairing, i.e. permitting non-standard base-pairing at the 3rd anti-codon position. The record is from Rfam. NCBI's taxonomy places the organism in Eukaryota, Metazoa, Nematoda, Chromadorea, Rhabditida, Toxocaridae.